Acanthosepion pharaonis is the source of this 110-nucleotide non-coding RNA. Lineage: Eukaryota; Metazoa; Mollusca; Cephalopoda; Sepiida; Sepiidae. The record is from the annotation of a GenBank genome assembly.
GGCCAUAAAAUGUUGAAACACAGGUUCUUUUCUGAUCACCAAGGUUAAGCAUCAUUGAGCUUGAACAGUACCUAGAUGAGUGACUGCUUCAGAAUACCAGGUGUUGUAAG